This 374-nucleotide ribosomal RNA is filed under the name uncultured organism. RNAcentral describes it as "partial 16S ribosomal RNA". It matches the Rfam family "Bacterial small subunit ribosomal RNA", at positions 527 to 896 of the family's 1533-position model. The record is from RNAcentral.
GUAGGUGGCAAGCGUUGUCCGGAAUUAUUGGGCGUAAAGCGCGCGCAGGCGGUCCUUUAAGUCUGAUGUGAAAGCCCACGGCUCAACCGUGGAGGGUCAUUGGAAACUGGGGGACUUGAGUACAGAAGAGGAAAGCGGAAUUCCAAGCGUAGCGGUGAAAUGCGUAGAGAUUUGGAGGAACACCAGUGGCGAAGGCGGCUUUCUGGUCUGUAACUGACGCUGAGGCGCGAAAGCGUGGGGAGCAAACAGGAUUAGAUACCCUGGUAGUCCACGCCGUAAACGAUGAGUGCUAAGUGUUAGGGGGUUUCCCGCCCCCCUUAGUGCUGCAGCUAACGCAUUAAGCACUCCGCCUGGGGAGUACGGCCGCAAGGCUG